GGCAGGUAAAAAGGCGGUUGUUUUGACUCUCAAAGAGCAGCACCUGGAGCCUGCAGAAAGCAGGCAGAGGAGAAGCAAGAAGGAAGUGUGCUGAGAGCAGCACUAGAAGGCAGCAGCAUUUGGAAACAGAAAGAAGAAGCAUCAACAGAAUGGGUUCCCUUGACCAGCAGCCUGGAAUCGGACCCUUGGUGGAGUGAGUGAUUGUGUAUCAACUCAAUUCUCUCCUCUGCUCCGGGCAAGAUGUGUCCCCCAGACCCGAAAGGACUAAGAGGUUUCUCCAUCCCUUCCUCUAGACGUUGUCCUGUUUUCCCCCUCCUUGAAUAAGUCCUAAUAGGCGAAGCGAACAAUUUCCUUCUCCCUGAAGAGGCGAAGACUUCUGGGAAGGAGAUGGUGAAUUUCUCUGUUGCCCUAGAUAUAAGGAUUAUUAUGUCUUGGAACUAU
Molecule: long non-coding RNA, 441 nt
Organism: Ornithorhynchus anatinus (platypus)
Lineage: Eukaryota; Metazoa; Chordata; Mammalia; Monotremata; Ornithorhynchidae
Exons: 3
Source: RefSeq, a predicted model, not a curated record